UGCCCCAUCCCCAUGACUCACACAGAGCUGCCUCUGCAGAAAAACCCACAUCUGGAAUUGUUUAUAGCUCCAGAUGCUGGUCCCCUCCCUCCCUCCUUUUUUGCACGCACUCACAGAAUCCCAAAAGUUAUGUUUCCUUUGUACGGAGGCCACAAACCUCACACCCCCCACCCCAGCCUGUGAUUUCCUUGAAGGCCCCAACUAGUUUCCAGACUGGAUUCAGCUGCAGACGUUGCCACGUCAGACAACGCCGAGAUGAUUUUUUCACAGAACAGUUUCACUUACAAAACCCAGGAAAGGAAAACAGGAGAGGACUGCACAGAAAGGAGUCUUCUGGGGACCAGCCCCGCCUUCCCAGUGUUCAGACUACCUGUUCAGGAAGCUACAAAGGUGUACAGUAGUCUGCACAUUGGUUAGACUGGGUUUGGGUGAGCAACGUUUCUAAGGUCUUUGACUUUCAGACGUCUUCCUUCAUGUUCCUUUGAUGGCCACAGGAGAGCACUUUCUUAGUGUGGUUCCAGACUAGGUAACAGCUUGUUGGAAGUACUUUGCCAUGUCUGCCUUUUCACAGUGAAAUGUAUUUUGUUCCAAUGACUCUUUUGGAAAUCCGGUCUCUCAUUCUUCUACUGCUUGACAUUGUUUUUAAUAUUCUGAUGAAAUUUCAAAUAAAGUGAAACUAUAAACUAAUUCCUAUCUUCCUCUCAUUCCAAAA
Non-coding RNA from Anolis sagrei ordinatus, 712 nucleotides. Lineage: Eukaryota; Metazoa; Chordata; Lepidosauria; Squamata; Anolidae. The record is from RefSeq and is a predicted model, not a curated record.